This is a transfer RNA of 72 nucleotides. It matches the Rfam family "tRNA". Rfam says of the family: Transfer RNA (tRNA) molecules are approximately 80 nucleotides in length. Their secondary structure includes four short double-helical elements and three loops (D, anti-codon, and T loops). Further hydrogen bonds mediate the characteristic L-shaped molecular structure. tRNAs have two regions of fundamental functional importance: the anti-codon, which is responsible for specific mRNA codon recognition, and the 3' end, to which the tRNAs corresponding amino acid is attached (by aminoacyl-tRNA synthetases). tRNAs cope with the degeneracy of the genetic code in two manners: having more than one tRNA (with a specific anti-codon) for a particular amino acid; and 'wobble' base-pairing, i.e. permitting non-standard base-pairing at the 3rd anti-codon position. The record is from Rfam.
GGGCGAUUAGCUCAGCGGGAGAGCACACGCUUCACACGCGUGGGGUCGUAGGUUCAAAUCCUACAUCGCCCA